RNA transcript from Nomascus leucogenys (northern white-cheeked gibbon), 2518 nucleotides. It is a transcript of the gene named HERV-H LTR-associating 2, with no coding region annotated. Lineage: Eukaryota; Metazoa; Chordata; Mammalia; Primates; Hylobatidae. The transcript has 10 exons. The record is from RefSeq and is a predicted model, not a curated record.
UUAUUCUUACGGACUACUUAGCAUUUGACUAGAUGGUAUGAAUUUCUAAGUAAGCACAUAUAGAACUGGAUGCCCUUGUGGUACAUCUCAAGACUGAUUUGAAAGCUUGAGAGACCAUCGAGAAUUGGAUUUGGGGAAGAUCAUGUAGGAGAAUACUAACCCUGCACAGAUUGUGAUGGUGAUGUGGAAUAUACUAAAGCCCAGAACGCACCUCCUCUGCAUGACUAAUAUGUCCUGAACAAGACAUGAAGGCACAGACAGUACUGUCUUUUUUCCUCAUUCUCAUAACAUCUCUGAGUGGAUCUCAAGGCAUAUUCCCUUUGGCUUUCUUCACUUAUGUUCCUAUGAAUGAACAAAUCAUCAUUGGAAGACUUGAUGAAGAUAUAAUUCUCCCUUCUUCAUUUGAGAGGGGAUCUGAAGUCGUAAUACACUGGAAGUAUCAAGAUAGCUACAAGGUUCACAGUUACUACAAAGGCAGUGACCAUUUGGAAAGCCAAGAUCCCAGAUAUGCAAACAGGACAUCACUUUUCUAUAAUGAGAUUCAAAAUGGGAAUGCAUCUCUAUUUUUCAGAAGAGUAAGCCUUCUGGACGAAGGAAUUUACACCUGCUAGGUAGGAACAGCAAUUCAAGUGAUUACAAACAAAGUGGUGCUAAAGGUGGGAGUUUUUCUCACACCCAUGAUGAAGUAUGAAAAGAGGAACACAAACAGCUUCUUAAUAUGCAGCGUGUUAAGUGUUUAUCCUCGUCCAAUUAUCAUGUGGAAAAUGGACAACACACCUAUCUCUGAAAACAAUAUGGAAGAAACAGGGUCUUUGGAUCCUUUUUCUAUUAACAGCACACUGAAUAUUACAGGAUCAAAUUCAUCUUAUGAAUGUACAAUUGAAAAUUCACUGCUGAAGCAAACGUGGACAGGGCACUGGACAAUGAAAGAUGGCCUUCAUAAAAUGCAAAGUGAACACAUUUCACUCUCAUGUCAACCUGUAAAUGAUUAUUUUUCACCAAACCAAGACUUCAAAGUUACUUGGUCCAGAAUGAAAAGUGGGACGUUCUCUAUCCUGGCUUACUAUCUGAGCUCCUCACAAAAUAUAAUUAUCAAUGAAUCCCGAUUCUCAUGGAACAAAGAGCUGAUAAACCAGAGUGACUUCUCUAUGAAUUUGAUGGAUCUUCAUCUUUCAGAUAGUGGGGAAUAUUUAUGCAAUAUUUCUACCGAUGAAUAUACUUUACUUACCAUCCACACAGUGCACGUAGAACCGAGCCAAGAAACAGCUUCCCAUAACAAAGGCUUAUGGAUUUUGGUGCCCUCUGUGAUUUUGGCAGCUUUUCUGCUGAUUUGGACAAUAAAAUGUUGCAGAGAAAGACGUGGUGUCCCUCCCUACUGAUGAGAGCCCUCACCAUGCACCUGAUAAUGCCGAAGAAAACGUGCCUCUUUCAGGAAGAGUACAGGAAAUGAGAAAAGACUGUGACAACUCAUGACCUGCAUCCUUAAUAUCCAGUGACUUCAUCUCCCCUUUCUUCACUGCAAUUCCAGGCAAUGGCCUGUCAGACCAGACAAUUCUACCACUGCAAAGACUUGUAACCAUUUUCUAGUAUCACAUUUACUUUUCAAGACAUAAGGAUCAUUCACUGACCCACUACCUGCAUUGAGUAUAAAUGCCUGGAUGUUAAGGAUUCCAAUUUAACUUCGGAAAGAACUGCCUCAUUCAUUUACAUUCCUGUUACAGUCAGCCCAGGAGAUUACAGUGAGCUCUCCACUAAGAAUCUGGAAGAAACGCAUCACUAGGGGUUGAUUCCCAAUCUGAUCAACUGAUAAUGGGUGAGACAGCAGGUAAGAGCAGAAGUCACCUUAGUGGAAAGGUUAAAAACCAGAGCCUGGAAACAAAGAUGAUUGAUUUGAUAAGGUAUUUUAGUCUAGUUUUAUAUGAAUGAUUAUAUCAGGGUAACCAACUCGAUUUGGGAUGAAUCUUAGGGACACCAAAGACUGACUGUCAGUAUCUUUCAGAUUGCUAGGGAAAAGGGCCCUAUGAACAUAAGAAUCUCUGAAGUUAGGUUACACUUGACCACACGAGGCUUGCAUAGUUGAGUGACUAGCCAUGAAGAUAAUUCAAACUCUUCUGGCUCAAUUGGCAUAUUACUAAUCAAUCUUCUAAUAAAUUUAGAUUUUCAUAUAAAUUUUUAAGCAAGAGAAGGGAGAGCUCAGCUAACUUAAUAUGUUUCCCUUAAUUUUAGUCACCAAUUUACAUAAAGGAAACAGUCUAAUGUUAAUGCUUGUGAACUUGUCACUAUAACCAGGCUUUUGUGUGACUUAGUCGAUCAGGGUUUUGACUCUAUAAGAGCAAAUUCUGAAUUGUGGUGUAACUGCCACCUGGUCCAAUUUUAUCACCUGACCUCAGUUUCACAAUCCUAUCCUUGUAUGUAAUUAACUCUGUUUUUGCUACAAUGUUAUGAUGGGUUAUCACAAAUAGCAAAGUAUUGAGAAUUCCCGUCAGAAUGAUAAUUAUUAAAAAGUCAAACAAUAGAU